UACAGAGGUCUCAAGCGUUGUUCGGAUUCAUUGGGCGUAAAGGGUGCGUAGGCGGCGCGGUAAGUCGGGUGUGAAAUUUCGAGGCUUAACUUCGAAACUGCAUUCGAUACUGCCGUGCUUGAGGACUGGAGAGGAGACUGGAAUUUACGGUGUAGCGGUGAAAUGCGUAGAUAUCGUAAGGAAGACCAGUGGCGAAGGCGGGUCUCUGGACAGUUCCUGACGCUGAGGCACGAAAGCUAAGGGAGCGAACAGG
This 253-nucleotide ribosomal RNA is filed under the name uncultured bacterium. RNAcentral's name for it is "partial 16S ribosomal RNA". It matches the Rfam family "Bacterial small subunit ribosomal RNA", at positions 524 to 776 of the family's 1533-position model. The record is from RNAcentral.